AUCAAAAUCUCAUUCUCAGACAUAUUCAAUAUAAAAUAAAAAAAAAUCUGUGACAAAGAUGUACAAAUACUUAACAUUAAGGAUUAAAAUGUUCAUCGAGAUGAGCUGUAUCCAUCGUGCCGUAUUGUACUAGCAAGAUAUUGACAUGAUAUAGACCCGCCAAUGGCACAACUCAAAACUCUUUAUUCUUGAAAUUAGUAAGUAAUUUUCUCAACAAAAUUUAAAAAAUUUGAUAAAAAUAAUAAUAAAUAAUUGGCAUAUAUUAUUGCUAAAGAAAAUAAAUAUUUUAUACUAUUAAGUGUCGGCACACAUAUAUUUUUUUUGGCCAGCACGUAUCGGCUCAGUUCGGCACUCACCAUAUCGUACUGUAACAGCAAGUUUCCGGCAUGACCUCAUACCACCG
Molecule: long non-coding RNA, 403 nt
Filed under: Ananas comosus (pineapple)
Lineage: Eukaryota; Viridiplantae; Streptophyta; Magnoliopsida; Poales; Bromeliaceae
Description: long non-coding RNA (ACOM_LNC000265)
Source: RNAcentral